This 117-nucleotide ribosomal RNA is filed under the name Myotis brandtii (Brandt's bat). Lineage: Eukaryota; Metazoa; Chordata; Mammalia; Chiroptera; Vespertilionidae. The record is from RNAcentral.
GCCUACAGCCAUACCACCCUGAAUGCACCCGAUCUCGUCUGAUCUCGGAAGUUAAGCAGGGUCGGGCCUGGUUAGUACUUGGAUGGGAGAAGGGAAAAGAAUGGGAUAUCAAAGUUA